RNAcentral lists this ribosomal RNA (359 nucleotides) under Mystrium sp. MG04. RNAcentral describes it as "SSU rRNA". It matches the Rfam family "Eukaryotic small subunit ribosomal RNA", at positions 77 to 404 of the family's 1831-position model. The record is from RNAcentral. Lineage: Eukaryota; Metazoa; Arthropoda; Insecta; Hymenoptera; Formicidae.
UAAGGUGAAACCNCGAAUGGCUCAUUAAAUCAGUUAUGGUUCAUUAGAUUGUACCCACAUUUACUUGGAUAACUGUGGUAAUUCUAGAGCUAAUACAUGCAACACAGAGUCCCGACCAGUGAUGGGAGGGACGCUUUUAUUAGAUCAAAACCAAUCGGUGGCGGGUAGGCUCGCCCNUCCGUCCAUCGUUUAUUUUGGUGACUCUGAAUAACUUUGUGCUGAUCGCACGGUCCUAGCACCGGCGACGCAUCUUUCAAAUGUCUGCCUUAUCAACUGUCGAUGGUAGGUUCUGCGCCUACNAUGGUUGUAACGGGUAACGGGGAAUCAGGGUUCGAUUCCGGAGAGGGAGCCUGAGAAAA